Molecule: transfer RNA, 66 nt
Filed under: Metagonimus yokogawai
Lineage: Eukaryota; Metazoa; Platyhelminthes; Trematoda; Opisthorchiida; Heterophyidae
Description: tRNA-Glu
Source: RNAcentral
GUUGGUUUGGUGUGAUAGCAUGCUAAUUUUUCGUGUUAGCGGUGGUCUGUUAGGGGUUAACCAGCA